RNAcentral lists this ribosomal RNA (83 nucleotides) under Capra hircus (goat). RNAcentral's name for it is "partial 12S ribosomal RNA". Lineage: Eukaryota; Metazoa; Chordata; Mammalia; Artiodactyla; Bovidae. The record is from RNAcentral.
CAUAGGUUUGGUCCCAGCCUUCCUGUUAACUCUCAACAGACUUACACAUGCAAGCAUCCACGCCCCGGUGAGUAACGCCCUCC